ACUUUCAACAACGGAUCUCUUGGUUCUGGCAUCGAUGAAGAACGCAGCGAAAUGCGAUAAGUAGUGUGAAUUGCAGAAUUCAGUGAAUCAUCGAAUUUUUGAACGCAUAUUGCGCCCCUUGGUAUUCCAUGGGGCAUGCCUGUUCGAGCGUCA
This 153-nucleotide ribosomal RNA is filed under the name Ampelomyces quisqualis. RNAcentral's name for it is "5.8S ribosomal RNA". It matches the Rfam family "5.8S ribosomal RNA". From Rfam's summary of the family: 5.8S ribosomal RNA (5.8S rRNA) is a component of the large subunit of the eukaryotic ribosome. It is transcribed by RNA polymerase I as part of the 45S precursor that also contains 18S and 28S rRNA. Lineage: Eukaryota; Fungi; Ascomycota; Dothideomycetes; Pleosporales; Phaeosphaeriaceae. RNAcentral also lists the same sequence under 9 other names. The record is from RNAcentral.